GUAUAUGGAAUAUAUCAUCUACUACAAAUCAAGGCAAAAUAAAGCUCCAGAGAGGUGAGCCAGACACCAGCACCAGCACUUUCAUGCUUGAGAGGGGUUGAGAAGAAGAGCCAGGGUGCACUGUAGGUGUCUGCAGACUGAGGAUUGAAGAGCAGGAGUGAAAGACCUCCCUCUUUGGCCUGGGACCAAAGAGUAUGAGCAGUGUCUUCAUCUUCCCAGAAGAAGCUUGUGCAAUGUGUCGCUGUCAGAGAAAGUAGAUUUGGAUACAAAAACAUGCACUGAGAUAAGAAAGGGAUUUCUAGAUCUUCAGAAUGGCCAGAUAGAAGGUCACAGGGCCUGAGUUUCUUCUCAGGCUAUGGAUAUUGAAAAUUGAUGUUGAAGAUUUUCAGAGAGAAUCGUGUGUGGAGUUUCUGGACAACAAAUAUUUUCCUCCCUCCGUCCCUUCUUCCUUCUUUUCUUCUUUUGAUGGUGUUAGGGUGGAAACCAGGGCCUCAAUCAUGGUAAGCAAAGCAUCUACCACUGAGCUACACCCUAUUCCAAGCACCAUUUUCUGAGAGUGAGAAGAGAAUCUUCCUUUCUGCUCUGGCAGGGGUGAAAAUUGGGUUCUUAAGAGAUGGGUGGUCUUUUUUUCUUUUUUUUUUUCCUUCUGACUCUAGGGGUCUUAUCUUUAAAGCUCUUCAUUUGACAAACUGCCCCCCACCCUUUCAUUCCUACAGCAGAAGGGAAAAAAUUCCUGGUUGCUCCCCAAGGGAGGGCCAAUGAGCACCCCCUGCUCUCUCUUGCUUGUGCCACAGAUGAAAGUCACAGCAGGAAGAUGAGCAGCUUUUUCUCAGAGGGAAGCUUGCGGUAAAGAGUCGGGCAGCCUCCGGACCUAUGGAUCUGUGUGUGUCUUGAACCUUUCCUGGAGAGGUCACUGGCAGCAAGAUAAGAAGCACCUCAGUUCUCCUGGUUGCUGUCAGGGUUGUAUUAACUUGCAGACUUGCAGGAUGGCAGCUGCAAAUCCAUCCAUCAUACCUGUCCCUGCGUGUGCACAUCAGAGAGUCACAGACAUGGAAAACACCCACUGGGAGUCACAGGUGAGUCAAGCUGUUUUCUUCUUUUUCUUUUUUUUUUUAAUUAGCACAGGUUUCCA
Molecule: long non-coding RNA, 1132 nt
Filed under: Fukomys damarensis (Damara mole-rat)
Lineage: Eukaryota; Metazoa; Chordata; Mammalia; Rodentia; Bathyergidae
Description: lncRNA (ENSFDAG00000028700.1)
Source: RNAcentral